CAAAGGUUUGGUCCUGACCUUACUAUCAGCUCUAGCUGAACUUACACAUGCAAGUAUCCGCGCCCCCGUGCGAAUGCCCUACAGUUCCCCUACCGGGAGCAGGGAGCUGGUAUCAAGGCACAGACUUCCUGGCCCACGACACCUUGCUUAGCCACACCCCCACGGGUAGUCAGCAGUGAUAGACAUUAAGCCAUGAGUGAAAACUCGACUCAGUUAAGGCUAAGAGGGCCGGUAAAACUCGUGCCAGCCACCGCGGUUAUACGAGGGGCCCAAGUUGAUAGACAUCGGCGUAAAGCGUGGUUAAGGAAUACAACAACUAAAGCCGAACGGCCCCCUAGCUGUUAUACGCAAAUGGGGAUUUAGAAGCACAAUCACGAAAGUAGCUUUAUGAUACCUGAACCCACGAAAGCUAAGGCACAAACUGGGAUUAGAUACCCCACUAUGCUUAGCCGUAAACAUUGACAACUAAUUACACCCGUUGUCCGCCCGGGAACUACGAGCGUCAGCUUAAAACCCAAAGGACUUGGCGGUGCUUUAAACCCCCCUAGAGGAGCCUGUUCUAGAACCGAUAUUCCCCGUUCAACCUCACCCUUCCUUGCUCUUUCCGCCUAUAUACCGCCGUCGCAAGCUUACCCUUUGAAGGCUCAAUAGUAAGCGCAAUCGGCACUGCCCAGAACGUCAGGUCGAGGUGUAGCGAAUGGAGGGGGAAGAAAUGGGCUACAUUCCCUGGUUGCAGGGAACUACGGAUAGUGUGCUGAAAUGCAUACUUGAAGGUGGAUUUAGUAGUAAGCUGAAAAUAGAGUGUUUAGCUGAAACUGGCCAUGAAGCGCGCACACACCGCCCGUCACUCU
RNAcentral lists this non-coding RNA (851 nucleotides) under Sillago sihama (northern whiting). Its description in RNAcentral is "partial 12S ribosomal RNA". It matches the Rfam family "Bacterial small subunit ribosomal RNA". Lineage: Eukaryota; Metazoa; Chordata; Actinopteri; Sillaginidae. The record is from RNAcentral.